CACGUAGGGGGCGAGCGUUGUCCGGAUUUAUUGGGCGUAAAGAGCUCGUAGGCGGUUUCGUAAGUCGGAUGUGAAAACUCCAGGCUCAACUUGGAGACGCCAUUCGAUACUGCGAUGACUUGAGUCCGGUAGGGGAGUGUGGAAUUCCUGGUGUAGCGGUGAAAUGCGCAGAUAUCAGGAGGAACACCGGUGGCGAAGGCGGAUCUCUGGGCCAUUACUGACGCUGAGGAGCGAAAGCGUGGGGAGCGAACAGG
This 254-nucleotide ribosomal RNA is filed under the name uncultured bacterium. RNAcentral's name for it is "partial 16S ribosomal RNA". It matches the Rfam family "Bacterial small subunit ribosomal RNA", at positions 524 to 776 of the family's 1533-position model. The record is from RNAcentral.